GAUGAAGAACGUAGCGAAAUGCGAUAAGUAAUGUGAAUUGCAGAAUUCAGUGAAUCAUCGAAUCUUUGAACGCACGUUGCGCCCGCCAGUAUUCUGGCGGGCAUGACUGUUCGAGCGUCAUUUCAACCCUCAAGCCCUGCUUGGUGUUGGGGAUCGGCGUUGCCUCCUCCGUCGUUCGCGGCGGGGUGAGGUCGCCGCCCCCGAAAUGAAUUGGCGGUCUCGUCGCAGCUUUCCUUUGCGUAGUAACAUACCACCUCGCAACCAGGAGCGCGGCGCGGCCACUGCCGUAAAACGCCCAACUUUUUCAAGAGUUGACCUCGAAUCAGGUAGGAAUACCCGCUGAACUUAAGCAUAUCAAUAAGCGGAGGA
Molecule: unclassified non-coding RNA, 369 nt
Filed under: soil metagenome
Description: partial contains 5.8S ribosomal RNA, internal transcribed spacer 2, and large subunit ribosomal RNA
Rfam family: 5.8S ribosomal RNA (bases 1-120)
Source: RNAcentral